This 425-nucleotide ribosomal RNA is filed under the name uncultured bacterium. Its description in RNAcentral is "bacterial SSU rRNA". It matches the Rfam family "Bacterial small subunit ribosomal RNA", at positions 354 to 796 of the family's 1533-position model. The record is from RNAcentral.
GUGGGGAAUCUUGCGCAAUGGGCGAAAGCCUGAUGCAGCCAUGCCGCGUGAAUGAUGAAGGUCUUAGGAUUGUAAAAUUCUUUCACCGGGGACGAUAAUGACGGUACCCGGAGAAGAAGCCCCGGCUAACUUCGUGCCAGCAGCCGCGGUAAUACGAAGGGUGCAAGCGUUGCUCGGAAUUACUGGGCGUAAAGGGCGCGUAGGCGGACAGUUUAGUCAGAGGUGAAAGCCCAGGGCUCAACCUUGGAAUUGCCUUUGAUACUGGCUGUCUUGAGUACGGGAGAGGUGAGUGGAACUCCGAGUGUAGAGGUGAAAUUCGUAGAUAUUCGGAAGAACACCAGUGGCGAAGGCGACUCACUGGCCCGUUACUGACGCUGAGGCGCGAAAGCGUGGGGAGCAAACAGGAUUAGAUACCCGAGUAGUCC